Molecule: ribosomal RNA, 494 nt
Filed under: uncultured bacterium
Lineage: Bacteria
Description: partial 16S ribosomal RNA
Rfam family: Bacterial small subunit ribosomal RNA
Source: RNAcentral
GACGAACGCUGGCGGCGUGCUUAACACAUGCAAGUCGAACGGAAAGGCCUGCUUUCCCUUGUGGAUUGCGGGUACUCGAGUGGCGAACGGGUGAGUAACACGUGAGUGAUCUGCCCCCAACUUGGGUAUAAGCCUGGGAAACUGGGUCUAAUUCCCGAUAGGACUGCAGGGUGGUGCCUGUGGUGGAACACGAUUUUCUAGUGGUUGGGGAUGAGCUCGCGGCCUAUCAGCUUGUUGGUGGGGUAAUGGCCUACCAAGGCGGCGACGGGUAGCCGGCCUGAGAGGGUGGACGGCCACAGUGGGACUGAGAUACGGCCCAGACUCCUACGGGAGGCAGCAGUGGGGAAUAUUGCACAAUGGGCGGAAGCCUGAUGCAGCGACGCCGCGGGGGGGAUGACGGGCUUCGGGUUGUAAACUCCUUUCGACCGCGAGGAAGCCACCUGGUUGGAAGGGUGGUGACGGUAGUGGUAGAAGAAGCACCGGCUAACUACGUG